This 505-nucleotide ribosomal RNA is filed under the name uncultured bacterium. RNAcentral's name for it is "bacterial SSU rRNA". It matches the Rfam family "Bacterial small subunit ribosomal RNA", at positions 15 to 507 of the family's 1533-position model. The record is from RNAcentral.
GAUCCUGGCUCAGGAUGAACGCUAGCUACAGGCUUAACACAUGCAAGUCGAGGGGAAACGACAUCGGAAGCUUGCUUUUGAUGGGCGUCGACCGGCGCACGGGUGAGUAACGCGUAUCCAACCUGCCCACCACUUGGGGAUAACCUUGCGAAAGUAAGACUAAUACCCAAUGACGUCUCUAGAAGACAUCUGAAAAGGGGAUUAAAGAUUUAUCGGUGAUGGAUGGGGAUGCGUCUGAUUAGCUUGUUGGCGGGUAACGGCCCACCAAGGCGACGAUCAGUAGGGGUUCUGAGAGGAAGGUCCCCCACAUUGGAACUGAGACACGGUCCAAACUCCUACGGGAGGCAGCAGUGAGGAAUAUUGGUCAAUGGGCGAGAGCCUGAACCAGCCAAGUAGCGUGCAGGAUGACGGCCCUAUGGGUUGUAAACUGCUUUUAUAAGGGAAUAAAGUGAGUCUCGUGAGACUUUUGCAUGUACCUUAUGAAUAAGGACCGGCUAAUUCCGUG